This 448-nucleotide ribosomal RNA is filed under the name uncultured bacterium. RNAcentral describes it as "bacterial SSU rRNA". It matches the Rfam family "Bacterial small subunit ribosomal RNA", at positions 335 to 799 of the family's 1533-position model. The record is from RNAcentral.
ACUCCUACGGGAGGCAGCAGUGGGAAUAUUGCACAAUGGGCGCAAGCCUGAUGCAGCAACGCCGUGUGAGUGAAGAAGGUUUUCGGAUCGUAAAACUCUGUCCUAAGGGAAGAAACAAAUGACGGUACCUUAGGAGGAAGCCCCGGCUAACUACGUGCCAGCAGCCGCGGUAAUACGUAGGGGGCAAGCGUUAUCCGGAAUCACUGGGCGUAAAGGGUGCGUAGGCGGCUUAGCAAGCCAGGGGUGAAAGGCAUUGGCUCAACCAAUGUAAGCCUUUGGAACUGUUAAGCUUGAGUGCAGGAGAGGUAAGUGGAAUUCCUAGUGUAGAGGUGAAAUUCGUAGAUAUUAGGAGGAACACCAGUGGCGAAGGCGACUUACUGGACUGUAACUGACGCUGAUGCACGAAAGCGUGGGUAGCGAACAGGAUUAGAUACCCUGUAGCACAGAG